Molecule: long non-coding RNA, 185 nt
Organism: Octopus sinensis (East Asian common octopus)
Lineage: Eukaryota; Metazoa; Mollusca; Cephalopoda; Octopoda; Octopodidae
Exons: 2
Source: RefSeq, a predicted model, not a curated record
AAUCGGUAGCAUCCGGACGAAAUGCUUAGCGGUAUUUUGUCUGUCGCUACGUUCUGAGUUCAAAUUCCGCGAGGUCGACUUUGCCUUUCAUCCAUUCGGGUUCGAUAAAUUAAAUACCAGUUGCGUACAGGCGUUGAUCUGAUCGACUGCCUCCUCCCCGCAAAUUUCGUGCCUCGUGCCUAGAG